This 357-nucleotide unclassified non-coding RNA is filed under the name soil metagenome. RNAcentral's name for it is "partial contains 5.8S ribosomal RNA, internal transcribed spacer 2, and large subunit ribosomal RNA". The stretch from base 1 to 120 matches the Rfam family "5.8S ribosomal RNA", at positions 35 to 154 of the family's 154-position model. The record is from RNAcentral.
GAUGAAGAACGUAGCGAAAUGCGAUAAGUAAUGUGAAUUGCAGAAUUCAGUGAAUCAUCGAAUCUUUGAACGCACAUUGCGCCCGCCGGCACUCCGGCGGGCAUGCCUGUCCGGGCGUCAUUUCAACCCUCAGGCCCGAACCCCCCCGGGGGGGGCGGGCCUGGUGUUGGGGCUCGGGGUCCGCGAGGCCCCCGUCCCCUAAAUCCAGUGGCGGUCGCGCCGCACCCUCCCCUGCGUAGUAGCACACCUCGCACCGGAGAGCAGCGCGUCCACGCCGUGAAACCCCCAACUUACCAAGGUUGACCUCGGAUCAGGUAGGAAUACCCGCUGAACUUAAGCAUAUCAAUAAGCGGAGGA